RNAcentral lists this long non-coding RNA (406 nucleotides) under Panax ginseng (ginseng). RNAcentral describes it as "long non-coding RNA (PGIN_LNC017408)". The record is from RNAcentral. Lineage: Eukaryota; Viridiplantae; Streptophyta; Magnoliopsida; Apiales; Araliaceae.
UACUUUGGUGGAAACUUGGGAUGGUGGAAGUACUUUGGAGGAAGCUUAGGAAGAGGAGUAAUGGGUGGGAAAGGUUUCUUAUAUAUUGGAACCAGUGGUGGAAGUGGCUUUGUGUAUACCGGAACUAGAGGUGGGAAUGGCUUCUUGUAAAUAGGAAUUGGUGGAUGCGUAUAAACUGGUAGAGGUGGGAAUGGUUUCUUGUAAAUAGGAAUCGGUGGAUGUGUAUAAACUGGUAGAGGUGGGAGUGGCUUCUUGUAAAUAGGAAUUGGUGGAUGUGUAUAAACCGGUAGAGGUGGGAGUGGCUUCUUGUAAAUAGGAAUUGGUGGAUGCGUAUAAACCGGUGGUUUUGGCUUUGGUUUGUAAACUGGAAUUGGUGGAUGCGUAUAAACCGGUGGCUUUGGCUUUG